RNAcentral lists this ribosomal RNA (1453 nucleotides) under Lactobacillus acidophilus. Its description in RNAcentral is "partial 16S ribosomal RNA". Lineage: Bacteria; Bacillati; Bacillota; Bacilli; Lactobacillales; Lactobacillaceae. The record is from RNAcentral.
CACGAUUAUGUACGUUCAGCUCGCUCGACUUGGUUGUCUAAGUGAAGCCACUACUGCAACCCUUGCGCUCGCCGCCUACCCACUCAUUGUGCACCCCUUGGACGGGGUAUCAGACCCUAUGGUGAACCUUUGUCCACGAUUAUGGCCUAUUCUUUCGUCUAGCGUACUAGUCGAAUAUUUUCCGCCGCAUUCGACAGCGAUACCCUACCGGGGCGCCACGUAAUCGAUCAACCAUCCCAUUGCCGGAUGGUUCCGUUACUACGUAUCGGCUCAACUCUCUGACUAGCCGGUGUAACCCUGACUCUGUGCCGGGUUUGAGGAUGCCCUCCGUCGUCAUCCCUUAGAAGGUGUUACCUGCUUUCAGACUACCUCGUUGCGGCGCACUCACUUCUUCCAAAAGCCUAGCAUUUCGAGACAACAACCACUUCUUCCUAUCUCCAUCAUUGACCGGAAAUAAACUGCCAUUAGUUGGUCUUUCAGUGCCGAUUGAUGCACGGUCGUCGGCGCCAUUAUGCAUCCACCGUUCGCAACAGGCCUAAAUAACCCGCAUUUCGCUCGCGUCCGCCUUCUUAUUCAGACUACACUUUCGGGAGCCGAAUUGGCUCCUUGACGUAGCCUUUGACAAAAAGAACUCACGUCUUCUCCUCUCACCUUGAGGUACACAUCGCCACCUUACGCAUCUAUAUACCUUCUUGUGGUCACCGCUUCCGCCGAGAGACCAGACGUUGACUGCGACUCCGAGCUUUCGUACCCAUCGCUUGUCCUAAUCUAUGGGACCAUCAGGUACGGCAUUUGCUACUCACGAUUCACAACCCUCCAAAGGCGGAGAGUCACGACGUCGAUUGCGUAAUUCGUGAGGCGGACCCCUCAUGCUGGCGUUCCAACUUUGAGUUUCCUUAACUGCCCCCGGGCGUGUUCGCCACCUCGUACACCAAAUUAAGCUUCGUUGCGCUUCUUGGAAUGGUCCAGAACUGUAGAUCACGUUAGGCAUCUCUAUGCCUCAAGGGAAGCCCCUGUGAUUCUGUCCACCACGUACCGACAGCAGUCGAGCACAGCACUCUACAACCCAAUUCAGGGCGUUGCUCGCGUUGGGAACAGUAAUCAACGGUCGUAAUUCAACCCGUGAGAUUACUCUGACGGCCACUGUUUGGCCUCCUUCCACCCCUACUGCAGUUCAGUAGUACGGGGAAUACUGGACCCGAUGUGUGCACGAUGUUACCUGUCAUGUUGCUCCUCGUUCGGACGCUUCCGUUCGCUUAGAGAAUUUCGACAAGAGUCAAGCCUGACGUCAGACGUUGAGCUGACGUGCUUCGACCUUAGCGAUCAUUAGCGCCUAGUCGUGCGGCGCCACUUAUGCAAGGGCCCGGAACAUGUGUGGCGGGCAGUGUGGUACCCUCAGACGUUACGGGUUUCGGCCACCGGAUUGGAAGCCCUUCCUCGGCAGAUUCGUCCG